This is a long non-coding RNA of Coturnix japonica (Japanese quail), 3487 nucleotides long. NCBI's taxonomy places the organism in Eukaryota, Metazoa, Chordata, Aves, Galliformes, Phasianidae. The record is from Ensembl.
GCACUGAUAUCCUUUACCUUUUCCCCUCAUGUUCCCACUGUUCCCAUAAAACACAUUUCUGAUCUUACGGGUCUUAUUCACUUUUUUUUUUUUUUUUUUUUUUUUUUUUUUUUCCAGCUUUACAGCCCAGUUCAGAGAGCUUUGACUGUAGUCUUGUUGUUCAUGGACCAUGUACACCUGGCUGAGGAGAGAAAACCUGAAGUACUGACCCAACAGCAGAAUGGGGGGAGAGGAAAAUUCACAUAGAGGUGAUCUGCAGAUGAGCUUUUUCUAUGAACAGCAACAGUAAAAAAUUAAUUUACUAUGACAGUAAAUUAAUGUCAGUCUAUCUCUUGUCUGGGAAGAGCAGCUGGAAAUUUUCUUUGUACAUUCAUUGUAAGCUGCAGCUACACAAGAAGACCAACUGGAGUAAAAAGAAAUGUGAGAUAUCAUUAUGUUGAUGUUUACCCUGUUUACUGUUUACGUAUAGAUUUUUAGAAGUUUAUUCAUGUCAGAUUUAUUUUUAUCAGUGAAAUUCAUCACAUACUAGUUGUAUGAUCUUGAAAUGAUUCCUGCUCUCCGUUAUAAGAACCACACUGGACAGAGACUAUAAUCCUUGACUGGCCAAAACUGAAUCAAUAUUUCUUCAGCUUUUCUAAAUUUUCAAAUCCAAUGAAACCCUUACAAUAAUCCAAUAUCAAAGAAACUAUUUGUAGUUGUUUUUCAGUAGAUAUAAAGGUAGGUGUAAACUGACAGAGAAAGGCCAAUAUAGCUUAUAUGUAGAGCUAGAACAUUUCUGAGGAGAAAAUAAGGAAUUUGAAAAAUUUACAGUUCCUGUGGCCAGCAACUGAACUUGUUUUUUUGCUAUCUUGGUUUUUCAAUGGUUGCCUGAAAUACAUGCUUUAUAUCUGGUUUGUGUGCUUCUUCAUGUAUUUAUGUUACUACGCAGAUUUUGGGGACAAGGGUUCCUCUCUGUAUGUGCAAAUUAUGUGUUCCUUUCAGGUUGUAAUUGGGACCUUGGCUUCUAUUGUGGAACACUGUGUGCUUUGUAACUUUUUCUAAUGCUUGGGUUUUUCUAUUUUACACUGAUUGUAACUUGUGUAAGACUGUUAUUCAUAGCCCAAGUAGAAUGUAGAUCAUUCAAAAUACCUGCCAUCUUGAUGAUGUAAUUGUUCAGCUGAAGAAGCGUUACUCAUGGCAUUACAUACAGACAGAGGUCUAUAGCAUCUCAAAGGUUUUGACAGGGCAUAUUCCCAGACUGUUACUGAAGUGGAUGCAGGUGCUUUCUGCACUCCUUUUGAGCUCAUAGAAAAACAUUAUGAGUGAACAAAGAUAGCAGUCAAAUCUCUGUCAGCACAACAGACCUAGAAAAACAGCUGUACAUUUUCCUUUCCUUUCCUUUCCUUUCCUUUCCUUUCCUUUCCUUUCCUUUCCUUUCCUUUCCUUUCCUUUCCUUUCCUUUCNUUUCCUUUCCUUUCCUUUCCUUUCCUUUCCUUUCCUUUCCUUUCCUUUCCUUUCCUUUCCUUUCCUUUCCUUUCCUUUCCUUUCCUUUCCUUUCCUUCCUUCCUUUUUUAUUUUUAUGUAUUUUAUUUUCUUUUUUUUCUGUGAAGCAAAGAAAGGAAAGGAAAGGAUGCUAAGAACACCAGGACACUAGUCUUGAGCACAUAUAUGAAGGGGUAGAAGAGCUGGACUCAAAUUUUCAGGGAUUUGGAAAGCUUUGUGUAAAGAUGCAAAGUGUGUCUUUGGGAAUAUGAAGGAAAACUUGCUGGUGUAGAUUUAGCUGAAGUAUGUAUUAAUAAGCUGAAAGUAAUUCUGAAGCAGGCAGAAAUUGAUGGUAUUUUGAGAUUUUAACUCCUGUAUAAUUGAAAAUACAGAUGGUCAGUACAGGAAUUAUCACAAUGCCAAGACUACCACUUGGAAUGCUGGGGGAGCAGCGGUAAUUCAGUUGUUCUGAAGAUCAGAAAAGUAAAAGAAAGGAAAUGAGAUUUUGCCUACAGUCAUUUAAUUAUCUAUGAUCAUAAAUAUGUCUGAAAUGCCAUACUUAAAAACACCGUCUAGAAUUAGAAAUAAUAAUAUGAUAAUCAAAAAUUUCCCUGAAAUUCCACCUCCAUUUAAAUAUAUUUACCCAACCCUAAAAUAGCAGCUCUGAUAUUUUACAUCGACUGAAGUAAUUUGGUUCAUUCAUUGAACACGAAUUGUAAUUACAGAACUUCCCCACAACCACCCCCACCACAUCCCAUUUGUUGGUAAGAGCCAGGAUGAAAUGUAUAAUGUGGUAUUAUUUUUAACUCUUUUAAUCUACACGGCUUGUGUAUGUUUGCAAGCAUGCAUGUUCACAUUUAUAUGGAUUUAUUGAUCUACAAAAGUAAAUGUGUCCUACUAAUAUUUUGAAGCAUUCUACCAAAAUGCAACUGUGAUAGCAGCAAUUCUCUUAUGAAAUGAAGCAUGCAAGAUAUUUUUAAUGUGGGGUGUAAUGGAUGGACUGUAAAGUUUUUGAACUGUAGGCAGGGAACCGACUAGCUCUACAAAAACCUCAUUUUUCAGUUUGUAUCCAGAUGUCACAGUGGGCACUGAAAUUUCUCCUUGGAGUAUUCCCUAAACUUGUCUGUUUGCUGUCUAAUCCCAGAGGUUUACAAUAUUAGUAUAAAUCAAAGCUAAGACCCAUAUUUUUUCCUAAGAUUCUAACAGCUGUAUCAAGUCAGAGAGCUGUGCUCUUUAACUGGGCUUAGAAAGAAGUUAGUUACAUAACCUCAAAACAUUUUGAAAUGUCCUGCUCAUCUAAAUUCCCCUACCAUCUCCCUUUCUAAUUUAAAGUUUCCUAGAUGCCUUAUGUUUCACUUCUUUUCAUCCACAGCAUGCCACAACUUCAGCAGAGCAGAGACGUUUAAAACCAAGCAGAUAUUCCAGUGUACUGGAACAAAGAGCUAGGUGUCUGCCACAGGAGAGCUCGACACUAAAGGUAUUCACAGAGUACACCUAACUUGAAUCAAAAGGAUAACAACAUGCUAUCAUCAAAUAAGUGUUGUAGCAAGCAGUUCAUUCUAGAAGACAAUAGCAGAACUAUGGACAGAGGGUAGGAGGAUAUAGUUAUUAUACAGGAGGAAAGACAAUGGGACUCCUGUCUCAGCUCCCAGAAUAGUCUGUGCAUUUCUAAUUGAAUUACUAGAUGAAGAAGUGAGGCAGUGAUGGGUCAUCAGCUUCAUAGGAGAGCAGCUUCUGGUUUUUGUUUUCACUGUGUGUUUUUGUUUUUACAAUGUUGUUUUCCCCACCACUGGACAAUGUUUAUGAGUAAAUAGCAAUCAUGAUCAGCCUGUACCUUCAAUAGCAAUGCAUAUAGAAUAGCACUGCUCCAAGGUGCUUCUUCAUGCUAAGUGAAAGAAACAAGUAUGAAUAACCCUUCUCCUUUCAUGCAGAAAAACAAGGCUUUGUGGCUAAAAGUUGAAUUAAAAGUGUGGUUGCAUACAGUACUCUGAAUAAAUAACAUCUAAUUACUGAAUCUUGGAGGCUU